RNAcentral lists this long non-coding RNA (2096 nucleotides) under Macaca mulatta (Rhesus monkey). RNAcentral's name for it is "lncRNA (ENSMMUG00000057894.1)". Lineage: Eukaryota; Metazoa; Chordata; Mammalia; Primates; Cercopithecidae. The record is from RNAcentral.
UCCUUCCUGGACCACUUACAUGCUUCCAACAAAAUGAAGCACUCUUGAUGUUAGUCACUCAAAUAAAUGGAAAUGGGCCCAUUUACUGGGAAUGUUAACAGAAUAAAAAGAUAGACGUGACACCAGUUGCUUCAGCCCAUCUCCAUGUACUUGCUUAAGGGCUGGGCAUAUUUCUCAUGGUGGAUAUGGUUCAGGGCACAUGUUUAAAUGGCUGUUCUUGUAGGAUGGUUUGGCUGUUGGAUUCCUCAUCUUCCCUCUCCUUAGGAAGGUAAGGUUACAGUAGUACUGUUGGCUCCUGGAAUAUAGAUUCAUAAAGAACUAAUGGAGUAUCAUCUCCACUGCUCUUGUGUGUGGUCAAAGUUCAGAUCCUUUACAGUUUCCACAUUCUAUCUCUAUUUCUAUUCAUCCUAGUAAAGCCAGUUACUUCAGACAUAAGUCCAUCUCUCAUUAAUUUAAUCCUCAUUAAGAAAAGUCAACUAAUAGCCCAGGCUUGAUUUUGGGGAAAAUGAGCACUAAUAUAUAAAUCUCUGCCUUAUUUUACUUUACAGAACUCAAAAAGCUUUGUUUGUUUGUUUGUUUGUUUAACAAAGGAUACUAUUUGCUUCCACACCUCAAGCCCAGGUAAUCCUGCAGAGGAUGCAGUCUUGGCGAAAGAAGUGAAUAUUCCAACUGACUUAAUUUAUUCCCACCUCAGCCAUUGGAACGGGAGUUUGAAGCAGAAAGUAAGUUGAAGUAAAGAAGGUUUUACCUUAGCUGAGUUCAUAGAAUGAGAUGCCAGCCUUCUACAUAGUAUACAUACCGCACUCAGUAAGGGGUUCCAGUAAAGCAGAUUCCGUUUCCACCUGAGGUAACAAAGUAAGUUUUAUGCGGGUGGUCACAUUAAACUUGAAUGUAGACAAAUUAGUGGUAUUUUGAAACAUCCGGAGUGAGGAGAUUAUUUAAAUGACCAGUUUAGAGGCAGAAAAAUAAAAGGCAUAACACAAACAUGGAAAAUAAUAUUGGGGGAAUUCAAGGAAUUUAAGUACCGAGACGGGCGGAUCACGAGAUCAGGAGAUCGAGACCAUCCUGGCUAAUACGGUGAAACCCCGUCUCUACUAAAAAAUACAAAAAACUAGCCGGGCGAGGUGGCAGGCGCCUGUAGUCCCAGCUACUCGGGAGGCUGAGGCAGGAGAAUGGCGGGAACCCGGGAGGCGGAGCUUGCAGUGAGCUGAGAUCCGGCCACUGCACUCCAGCCUGGGCGACAGAGGAGACUCCGUCUCAAAAAAAAAAAAAAAAAAAAAGAUAUGGUUAAAGACAUUUUGAAAUGUGAAAGCCAACUAAAUAAAAUUUAAGUAAGAAAAAUCUGGACAGGCACGGUGGCUCAUGCCUGUAAUCCCAGCACUUUGGGAGGCCGAGACGGGCAGAUCACGAGGUCAGGAGAUCGAGACCAUCCUGGCUAACACGGUGAAACCCUGUCUCUACUAAAAAAUACAAAAAACUAGCCGGUGUGGUGGCAGCACCCGUAGUCCCAGCUACUCGGGAGGCUGAGGCAGGAGAAUGGCGUGAACCCAGGAGGCAGAGCUUGCAGUGAGCCGAGAUCGCACCACUGCACUUCAGCCUGGGCAACAGAGCAAGACUCUGUCUAAAAAAAAAAAAGAAAAAGAAAAAUCUGAAGAAAUAUGACAUACUUUAAAGUAAUAUAAGAAAUUUGGCUGCUAUCAUUACUUUUUUUAACAGAUGAGUGAGUCUCUAAGGAAAAUAAACUGUCAGCUUUUUGCAAGGAGCAAGACUUUCUGAAAAUAACCCAGGUAUCUGCUCUUGACAAAGAAAUAGCUGAAAUGAGGAUUUUCUCCCACUUCUACUAGCCAGGAAAGUAAAAUCUAAGCCCGAUUUCCAAUGGAACAAGAGGCUUCCACAGUUCUACCCACAAGAAGUGGGGACUGAAACUUCCCAUGUGCCCAGGGUCUUCACGUUCAAGGCAGUAGUGGCCUCUGCAAUAGCACACAAACCCAUAAGCACACAGCUUCAGCAAGCUUCUCUGAGGGAAUAAAUGGAGAAUGGGAAACUGUGCCUUAUCUUGUCUUGCUCUAAACUUCUCCAGUGAAGUCUAUUCUUUA